UUCCAGGUACAGCCGAAGCCGUUCCUCCGGCGUCGGUCUGCGAAAGUCGAAGCGCGGAAAGUCGACUGGUCAUACGUAAAGCCACGAACAAACAGCAGGUAUGAUGUAAUUAAGGCGUCGGGGCUAGUGCAGGAGUGCUUGAUUGGAAUGUAUUGCCGCGAGCUAGUCAGGUUCUUGGGUAUUGGAGCAACUGGUGCUCACAUGAUUGCAGGAACCCGGACUAUUACGGCGAUCAGAAUAGUCCUGAUGCCGUAUUAAAGGCGCGCGCGAGUCCGCUGGCAUCUCCCGGGGGUGGGGUUACCAAGCCGCCUUUAAACAUAAACGUGGGCGCACGCGCAAAGCAGCCCGGGGUCAAGCUGCCACUGACCCCAACUGAAGGGGAGCGAACUCCGC
RNAcentral lists this long non-coding RNA (393 nucleotides) under Volvox carteri. Its description in RNAcentral is "long non-coding RNA (VCAR_LNC000255)". The record is from RNAcentral. Lineage: Eukaryota; Viridiplantae; Chlorophyta; Chlorophyceae; Chlamydomonadales; Volvocaceae.